CAGUAACGGCGAGUGAAGCGGCAAGAGCUCAAAUUUGAAAGCUGGCUCCUUCGGGGUCCGCAUUGUAAUUUGCAGAGGAUGCUUCGGGAGCGGUCCCCAUCUAAGUGCCCUGGAACGGGACGUCAUAGAGGGUGAGAAUCCCGUAUGGGAUGGGGUGUCCGCGCCCGUGUGAAGCUCCUUCGACGAGUCGAGUUGUUUGGGAAUGCAGCUCUAAAUGGGUGGUAAAUUUCAUCUAAAGCUAAAUAUUGGCCGGAGACCGAUAGCGCACAAGUAGAGUGAUCGAAAGAUGAAAAGCACUUUGAAAAGAGAGUUAAAAAGCACGUGAAAUUGUUGAAAGGGAAGCGCUUGCGACCAGACUCGCUCGCGGGGUUCAGCCGGCAUUCGUGCCGGUGUACUUCCCCGCGGGCGGGCCAGCGUCGGUUUGGGCGGUCGGUCAAAGGCCCUCGGAAGGUAACGCCCCCAGGGGCGUCUUAUAGCCGAGGGUGCAAUGCGACCUGCCUAGACCGAGGAACGCGCUUCGGCUCGGACGCUGGCAUAAUGGUCGUAAACGACCCGUCUUG
Molecule: ribosomal RNA, 560 nt
Filed under: Penicillium verrucosum
Lineage: Eukaryota; Fungi; Ascomycota; Eurotiomycetes; Eurotiales; Aspergillaceae
Description: eukaryotic LSU rRNA
Rfam family: Eukaryotic large subunit ribosomal RNA
Source: RNAcentral